UGGGGAAUAUUGCACAAUGGGCGCAAGCCUGAUGCAGCCAUGCCGCGUGUGUGAAGAAGGCCUUCGGGUUGUAAAGCACUUUCAGCGAGGAGGAAGGUGGUGAGCUUAAUACGCUCAUCAAUUGACGUUACUCGCAGAAGAAGCACCGGCUAACUCCGUGCCAGCAGCCGCGGUAAUACGGAGGGUGCAAGCGUUAAUCGGAAUUACUGGGCGUAAAGCGCACGCAGGCGGUUUGUUAAGUCAGAUGUGAAAUCCCCGGGCUCAACCUGGGAACUGCAUUUGAAACUGGCAAGCUAGAGUCUCGUAGAGGGGGGUAGAAUUCCAGGUGUAGCGGUGAAAUGCGUAGAGAUCUGGAGGAAUACCGGUGGCGAAGGCGGCCCCCCUGGACGAAGACUGACGCUCAGGUGCGAAAAGCGUGGGGCAGCAAACAGGAUUAGAUACCCUGUAGUCCACGCUGUAAAACGAUGUCGAUUUUGGAGGUUGUGCCCUUGAGGCGUGGCUUCCGGAGCUAACGCGUUAAAUCGACCGCCUGGGGAGUAC
Molecule: ribosomal RNA, 540 nt
Filed under: uncultured bacterium
Lineage: Bacteria
Description: partial 16S ribosomal RNA
Rfam family: Bacterial small subunit ribosomal RNA
Source: RNAcentral